CAGCCGCCGCGGUAAUACCGGCGGCCCGAGUGGCGGUCACUAUUAUUGGGCUUAAAGCGUCCGUAGCCGGGUUGGGAAGUCCUCCGGGAAAUCUGGCCGCUUAACGGUCAGAAUGCCGGAGGAUACUCCCAGCCUAGGGAGCGGGGGAGGCCGAGGGGAUUCCCGGAGUAGGGGGGAAAUCCUAUAAUCCCCGGAGGACCACCUGUGGCGAAGGCGCUCGGCUGGAACGCGUCCGACGGUGAGGGACGAAGGCCAGGGGAGCAAACCGGAUUAGAUACCCGGGUAGUCCUGGCUGUAAACGAUGCGGACUUUGUGUCGGACAAGCUAUGAGCUUGUCCGGUGCCGGAGGGAAACCGUUAAGUCCGCCGCCUGGGGAGUACGGCCGCAAGGCUGAAACUUAAAGGAAUUGGCGGG
Molecule: ribosomal RNA, 414 nt
Filed under: uncultured microorganism
Description: bacterial SSU rRNA
Rfam family: Archaeal small subunit ribosomal RNA
Source: RNAcentral